UGGGGAAUCUUCCGCAAUGGACGAAAGUCUGACGGAGCAACGCCGCGUGAGUGAUGACGGCCUUCGGGUUGUAAAGCUCUGUUAAUCGGGACGAAUGGUUUUUGUGUGAAUAAUGCAAAGAUUUGACGGUACCGGAAUAGAAAGCCACGGCUAACUACGUGCCAGCAGCCGCGGUAAUACGUAGGUGGCAAGCGUUGUCCGGAAUUAUUGGGCGUAAAGCGCGCGCAGGCGGUUUUGCAAGUCUGUCUUAAAAGUUCGGGGCUCAACCCCGUGAUGGGAUGGAAACUGUAGAACUAGAGUAUCGGAGAGGAAAGCGGAAUUCCUAGUGUAGCGGUGAAAUGCGUAGAUAUUAGGAAGAACACCAGUGGCGAAGGCGGCUUUCUGGACGAAAACUGACGCUGAGGCGCGAAAGCCAGGGGAGCGAACGGG
Molecule: ribosomal RNA, 429 nt
Filed under: uncultured Veillonella sp.
Lineage: Bacteria; Bacillati; Bacillota; Negativicutes; Veillonellales; Veillonellaceae
Description: bacterial SSU rRNA
Rfam family: Bacterial small subunit ribosomal RNA
Source: RNAcentral